AUGAAACUGAUGAGGGGGAGAGAAGCUGCCAGCGGGGAUAUAGUGCAAGCCAAGGGGAAAGAAAGCAGCUUCCCCUCUAAAGUCUUUCUCCCUCUGUAUGCAACCCUCCUCUUCCCUCUCCAGAGGAGAAGAACACAAAGAUCAUCUGUCUGGGUUACAGCAGAAGCAGCUCAGUGGACCAUGGGCUGUGUGGUCGCCGGGAAGGCAUGGAAGCCCUUGACCACCCACCUCCAGGAGAGGCACCCAUGUCCCAAAGUCCAACCAGCUCCCCUCCAGAGUAGCCUUGGGCAAUACUACUUUUAUUGGAUCAUGGAAACAGCAAAAAACGGGGGAUUUUCUUUGAAAGAAAUGACCUUUCUCACUCUGGGUGUGGAGGAAAUGAAAAUCCUAAGAACCGCUUGGCCAGCCCCGGGUGAUUCUGCAUCCUUGAUAUUAUUGACAUGGGCUCAUUUUGCACCAUUAAUUUUUUAUACUGGGCUGUUUCGUAUCAUUUCUAUGGGUCCUGACUUCUUCUAUAGAUUGGUGUCGACGCCGCCUGUGGGGUCCCUAUUUAUGUCGGCUUCUUCGGCAUCCAUAGUAUAUAGACUGACAGAAAGGGUCGGCGUUGCUGCCUCGUCGAGGAGGGGCUGGUUCUGCAUCUUUUUUUUUCCACUGACCCUCCCGGGCAGCCUUUCCUCUCUCUCUCCGGGCUCAAGGGCCCCCCUCCCCGCCCAAAAAAGCAGCAGCCAGGCCAGGCCAGGCCAGGCCCCGCCGCCUUCCUCCUCCUCCUUCCUCCUUCCUCCUCAGAGGAGCCCGUUCGGCCCGCAACCGAGCCUUCCUGGCGGCGGCCUUCGGGCCUCUCUUUCUCCUCCCGCCUCUCGAGGCUCCCUUUCCGGCGCGGCCUCUUUAAGGCGCGGCCUGGUCGGGCCCGGCGCGGCCUCCUCCUCCUCCUCGCAGGCGGGGAGGGGGGGGAGGGAGGGAGGGCGGCCCGGCCCGCCCCCCUCCCCCUCCUCGCAGGCGGGAAGGGAGGGAAGGGAGGAAGGGCGGAAGAGGGUCGGGUCCCGGCAGCCGCCGCCGCCAUGGCGCCCCAGCCUCUCCCUCUCCCACCGCCUCCUCCUCCUCCUCCGUCCUCGUCGUCGUCGCUGCAGCCGCUGA
Molecule: long non-coding RNA, 1134 nt
Filed under: Pogona vitticeps (central bearded dragon)
Lineage: Eukaryota; Metazoa; Chordata; Lepidosauria; Squamata; Agamidae
Description: lncRNA (ENSPVIG00000018414.1)
Source: RNAcentral